This 4180-nucleotide long non-coding RNA is filed under the name Sus scrofa (pig). Its description in RNAcentral is "lncRNA (ENSSSCG00000059006.1)". Lineage: Eukaryota; Metazoa; Chordata; Mammalia; Artiodactyla; Suidae. The record is from RNAcentral.
UUGAAUUUAGAGGAUACUAGUUAUAAUUUUAUCACGUGCACGGUUAUAAGAUUUUUCUAAAGAAUGAGGAUUUUUUUUCUUUCAUGGUGAGAGGAUUACCUCCAAAACUUAAAAAGGUUCCUGUCCCUUUCUGGCUAAAUCUUCUGCUGGUCAAAUAGUUCAUUAGUUAAAAGAAUCACAACCCAAGUUCACUUUGGUUUUAACUUCAAGGGGGAAAUAGGGAAAACGUAGUUUUAACCUGACGUGAUCAGAUAAAUACUUAAAUUUUUCCACUUGUCAUUGUGAUUCUCAGUUCACUUCAUCUUUAGAAUGCUUAUACCAAUGGAUUAAAACCUGGCUUUGUCAUUUAUGCUGUUCGCAUCUUAAAUGAGCCCAGUGUAAGGGCAGGGGUUGGCACUAGUGUCAGUCUGACAUUCCAGAGGACCAGGCCAUGCCUAUAAAUGUCUCCAUGUUGGUGUCACAUUCAGGGCGCUAGUGAGCCAGCUAAGGUUCAGGCCCAUUCCUGACACAGCAACAAAUUCCUUUCUUUACAUGCCUCCAGUGGCAUUUCCUCAGGAAGCCUAGAAGUGUUCAGGCUGUGCAAUAAAGUGAUCGGAGUCAUGUUCUUUUGUCCUGUUUCCUAAAUGAACAAUAUUUUAAAGUAACUUGUCCUGGAAAAUAAAUAUAUCUAUAUCCAAAUCUCUAUCUAUCUAUCUACCUAUCUAUCAUCUAUCUACCUAUCUUCUAUCGUCUAUUAUAUAUCCUCUAUCUAUCUACCUAUCAUCUAUUAUCUACCUAUCAUCUAUUCUCCUAUCUAUCUAUCCAUCCAUCUCUCUAUCUAUCUUCUAUCUAUCUCUCUAUCUUCUAUCUAUCCAUCCAUCCCACUUGUGCCUCAACUGAGACCUAAAAACAGGUGCCUAAGUGAGUGCUCAGAGCCUGGGGUCCUGCACCUUGCCUGGGUGCUCUGGGUCUGCUCUGCAGACACGCUUCACUUCUGAAUGGGAUAGAGGCCGAAUGUUAGAAACAAGACAGUAAAUUCUCUCUGCAUAUCAAGGAGGGCCUCUCCUCCAGCCUCACAGCAGAUGGACAUGAGAUAGGCUUUCCUGGGGCAAAGGUGUUUCUCAUGAUCUAAUUCUGUUGUGUGAAAACUCCUGUGCUCAACGGGAGUAGUGACGGUGAUGAUAACUUCUGAAAUACCUAAAGCUAAAGUGAGAAGUCCGGACUCAUUCAUUCAACAGAUAAAUAUGUCAAUAAGAAGAAAAUUGAGAAUAAGUGACACUACUAAAAAAUACGAAUGGCUUAAAUUAAGGUGAGUAAAAAUCCAGGCUUGGGUUUUAAGCAUGACGUUGUAGACUCUGAUGUACUGUGUUCCAGCAGUGAUUCCUGGUGGUUGAAGGUCACCACAGGUGACAACUCCACACACGGGCAAGGAGGGAGCAGUGAAUUGUAAUGGUUAACAUGUGCGGUCUGGAGUCAUACCCUUCAUUUAACAGCCACCAGCCACCUGCUGGGCUGUGUGUGACCCUGAGCAGGCCAUUUGCCUCUUCACGCCCAGCACCCUGGCUGCUUCUUGGCUUCCGUGCCCUCCUCUUUAACAGCGUUGUUUAAUUAUUGAAAUACUUGGGGGAGUAUGAGUUUCAGUUCACGCAUUGGUCUUGUUAGUAGGAUCCUGGGCUUAGGUAUCUGUAAAAUGAGGAUAAAAAUACGUCGCAGGACUGCUCUGUGGGUGUAAGGAUGAUAAUGGUAACCCAGCAGUUAAAAGAGCUUAUUCAAUUCAAUCCUCAAAGAACUAAUCUACCUAUUUUACGGGUAUAAACAUGAAGGUAUAGAGAUACCAAGUGGUGCUCCUCUCACACAGUUAAACACUCAGUAAAUGUUAGCCUUAGGGACUUUCAUUAGGAAAAUAUUAUUUAGGGGGAAUUGCCAAAGAAGGAUAUAUUAAUUGCAAGGGCUGCCAUGGCAAUUACCACAGAAUGGGGCUUAAACAACAGAAAUGUAUUUUCUCAGUCCUGGAGGCUGAAAGUCCCAGACCAAGGUGUGGGCAGGGUUGGUGUCUCCCAAGGCCUCUCUCCUUGGUAUGCAGAUGUCAGUCUUUCUGCUUCUUCAUGUAGUCUUACCUCUGUGAGCAUCUGCAUCCUAACCUCUUCUUAUAAGGACCCCGGUCAUGCUGCACUAGGGCUCACCCCCAAAGACCUCAUUUUAACUUAAGUAUCUGUUUAAAGGUACUGUUUCCAAGUACAGUCACAUUCUGGGUUAUGAGAUAGUAUAUGAGUUUUGAGGUGACACAAUUCAGACCACCAAAAAGGACAAAUGAAAACCUUAUGAGAGUAAACCUAGUCCAGUCUAGGUGGCCUCAGUAAUAAAAAACCCACAGUCAGGUAUAGAGAGCUGUCUCCAGCCAGACCCUAGGCUCCAUGCUUCUAAAAGCACAUUGUGGAAAUGAACAACUGCUGAAGUUCCUUUCCCUCAAGGGAGGACUUGGAUCCCUCAAAACACUUUAACUAAUGGCAGCAACAACAAAACUCCCUUUGCCGUAUAUCUUUAUAUUUUAGUAACAAAGAGGUGCACAUCAUCAUGGAAUUUUUACAGCAAAGUGGAUAUGUCAUAAAGGAUUAUUUUCCCUCUACUAUCAAUACACCCAAGACAAAUUCAAUUGCCUUUCCCUGGUGUGGUGUUUUUGUUUUUGUUUUUGGAUAAAGAAGAGGUGGCUUGAAAAUAUCCCACCACUUUGGUAUUUAGUGCAGGGCAAUGGAGCCAUCACAAUAUUCAGUUUUGAAGGCAUUCCUGGUGCCUGAAGCAUGUUUACCCAAGAGGAGGGAAAGGAUGGUUUGAGCAACAAGACAGGUGGGCAGUCUUGAAAGUUUGUGGUCAGCAGGAAGCAGGCAAAAGGCUUCACCUGAUACUAUGUUUCCCUCACAGAAGUUCUUGUUUGGGAUUUGCUGUUGCUGGUUUGAAAUUCAUUGUUUACUGUUAUUCCUUCUUUGGACAUUACUCUUUUUACUUUUUUUGUAUGUAAAUAAAUUUCUCUUAUUUUACCUUUUUGGGACACUGCAAAUUGAUAAAGACUCUAGAAGAGAAUAGUCAGUUCAAAUCACCCUUCAUGCAAUAAGCAAAGAAACUUCCAGGGAGCACAUAGUUCCAUUUUCUGUUGAAAAUUCAUAAACAUGCUGAAUGUUAGUGACAAUUUUAAAAUGAUUGUUAAAAACAUGGCUAGUUUUAGAAUUAUGAAGGAGUAGGUUCUUAAUUUUUAUUUUUUAGCACAAUGAUAAACAUCCAUUUUGUACUUAUUAUUUUAUGGUCAUAUUCCUUUUUCUAAUAAUAUUAUUCCCUGAUUUUAUUUGCCAUUUUAGGACAUAAGCAAUAAGUAUCUGCUAUUUCAUUGUAUUCCUUUUCUUUGUCCCUUCUCUCAAUUUAUAACCAUGAACAUACUGUCUAUAUAACAACUCAAACUUUCAAAAAAAAAUCAAAAUAGACUAUACAAUGCUUUUGUGUGUUUCUUAGUAAAAGUUUGGAAGCUAUUUGUAAUGGAAAAGUGCCUGGGGUGUUGGAGGCAGGGAUUCAAUUCUUGCUCCCAUUCAAGAUUUCUCUUGACUGAGGUAAGAUCCCUCACCUCCCUCAGAUUUAGUGUCCUCCUCUAUAAAAGGAAAAAUGAAUAAAGCAUCUGGAAAGCACACACCAGACACUGCCAGCACUUCUCCAGGGGCCCAAGAAUGAAUCUACUCUGGCAAAGGGCAAAGUUUGUCUCUACUCUGUUCCUUCCAUUCCCUGCCUUCUCUUUGAAACACCUUAAGGGAUAAUUAUUAGGAGUAUCGUGGUAAAACCACUGCAAUAAUAAAAGCUAGUAUUUAUUUACUAUGUGCCUGGCACCAGGCUAAGUAAGUGCUUUACAUGAUAUUGCUUCUCUCCAUGUCACCACUGUUUCCCAGGGGAGCUUUUAUUAGCCCCACAUUGCUGAUAAGAGACCCAAAGGAAAAUAAAUUAUGGGAGUUACCCUUGUGGCUCAGUGGUAACAAAUCCAACUAGUAUCCAUGAGGAUGUGGGUUUGACCCCUGGCCUUGCUCAGUGGGUUAAGGAUCUGGUAUUGCCAUGAGCUGUGGUGUAGGUCUCAGAUGCAGUUUAGAUCCCAUGUUGCUGUAGCUGCAUAGGCCAGCAGGUACAGCUCUGAUUCAACUUCUAACCUGGGAACUUCUAUAUGCUGUGG